Molecule: long non-coding RNA, 242 nt
Filed under: Elaeis guineensis (African oil palm)
Lineage: Eukaryota; Viridiplantae; Streptophyta; Magnoliopsida; Arecales; Arecaceae
Description: long non-coding RNA (EGUI_LNC078349)
Source: RNAcentral
GGGUAUAAAUAUCCCUCCAACCUGAGACCACCACGAUGACUUGCAAGCAACUCACUGCACUUAGGCACUGGACUACCUGAAUUUUUAAUUCAGUGACGGAAGGCUGCUGGGUGUAGUCAAGUACUUGACUUGUCGGUGCGUGUGUCAAGAUGGGAUUGACCACUCCAGUUUAGGAGCUGUGUACAGUCAUGUUUCAAUUUAGCAAAACCUUGGCCAGGGUAGUCCUUGUGAGGAGUUACAGG